GACAUCUUAGUUAUUUUUUACAAGGUAUUUUGUAGACAAUUACUAAUUUACAUAUUUUACUAUAAUAAAUAUUCUUCAAUAUUUUCUUUGAUAUAUUUUUUAAAUUAUCUUUCUCAACACAGUAAAUCAAAUAAUUGUAUCAAGGGAAGCUGAUUUCUCUUAUUUCAGAUGUUUUUAAUCUCUUUUUAAAGAAAUGGAUAACUCAGACCACCUUCUUGCAUAAGGAAGUUCUUGCUUAUGUUUAAUAUUAAAUUAAUUUUUUCUUAGUUUUGUCCUUUUAGACAGUUUUGUUGUGGUAUUUUCAGCAAUGAAGGGUUCGAUUCCUAUGGAGGAAAUACUCUUAUGUUUUAAAAGAGUUUUGCUUUGCUUCAGGGUGGUUGAAGUGGAUUGAGAAAAAUCUCUGGUUUUGACUAUAGCUCUGUGCUGUCCAUUGCUCAGAUGCCGGUUCCAGGGAGAAAGGGUGGAUCAAGAUCAAGAGAAGAUGUGAUAAGUCCAAAGUAGGUAUUUUAUUUAUUUGUUGUCUCCAUUCUUUUUUGUUUGUUUGUUAAUCCUCACCAAGAAUAUUUUUCCCAUUGAUUUUUAGGGAGAGUGGAAGAGAA
Molecule: long non-coding RNA, 599 nt
Organism: Myotis myotis
Lineage: Eukaryota; Metazoa; Chordata; Mammalia; Chiroptera; Vespertilionidae
Exons: 3
Source: RefSeq, a predicted model, not a curated record